GAUGAACGCUGGCGGCGUGCCUAACACAUGCAAGUCGAGCGAGGGUUUGCUCAGUAUUGAGUAUUCUAAGUCUAGAAUGUUCAAUUCUGAGCAAAACCAAGCGGCGGACGGGUGAGUAACGCGUGGGUAACCUGCCCUAUACACAUGGAUAACAUACUGAAAAGUUUACUAAUACAUGAUAAUAUAUAUUUGCGGCAUCGCAGAUAUAUCAAAGUGUUAGCGGUAUAGGAUGGACCCGCGUCUGAUUAGCUAGUUGGUGAGAUAACUGCCCACCAAGGCGACGAUCAGUAGCCGACCUGAGAGGGUGAUCGGCCACAUUGGAACUGAGACACGGUCCAAACUCCUACGGGAGGCAGCAGUGGGGAAUAUUGCACAAUGGGCGAAAGCCUGAUGCAGCAACGCCGCGUGAACGAUGAAGGUCUUCGGAUCGUAAAGUUCUGUUGCAGGGGAAGAUAAUGACGGUACCCUGUGAGGAAGCCCCGGCUGACUACGUGCCAGCAGCCGCGGUAAUACGUAGGGGGCUAGCGUUAUCCGGAUUUACUGGGCGUAAAGGGUGCGUAGGUGGUCCUUCAAGUCGGUGGUUAAAGGCUACGGCUCAACCGUAGUAAGCCGCCGAAACUGGAGGACUUGAGUGCAGGAGAGGAAAGUGGAAUUCCCAGUGUAGCGGUGAAAUGCGUAGAUAUUGGGAGGAACACCAGUAGCGAAGGCGGCUUUCUGGACUGCAACUGACACUGAGGCACGAAAGCGUGGGUAGCAAACAGG
This 762-nucleotide ribosomal RNA is filed under the name uncultured Peptostreptococcus sp. RNAcentral describes it as "bacterial SSU rRNA". It matches the Rfam family "Bacterial small subunit ribosomal RNA", at positions 28 to 776 of the family's 1533-position model. Lineage: Bacteria; Bacillati; Bacillota; Clostridia; Peptostreptococcales; Peptostreptococcaceae. The record is from RNAcentral.